Molecule: ribosomal RNA, 253 nt
Filed under: uncultured bacterium
Lineage: Bacteria
Description: partial 16S ribosomal RNA
Rfam family: Bacterial small subunit ribosomal RNA
Source: RNAcentral
UACGGAGGGUGCAAGCGUUGUCCGGAUUUAUUGGGUUUAAAGGGUGCGUAGGCGGCCCGUUAAGUCAGUGGUGAAAGCCUCCAGCUCAACUGGAGAACUGCCAUUGAUACUGACGGGCUUGAGUACAGACGAGGUUGGCGGAAUUGAUUGUGUAGCGGUGAAAUGCAUAGAUACAAUCAAGAACUCCGAUUGCGUAGGCAGCUAACUAGGCUGUAACUGACACUGAGGCACGAAAGCGUGGGGAGCGAACAGG